CCUACGGGUGGCAGCAGUGAGGAAUAUUGGUCAAUGGCCGGAAGCCUGAACCAGCCAAGCCGCGUGAAGGACGAAGGUACCAAGCAUUGUAAACUUCUUUUGUCAAGGGACAAAAUCAGGCUCGAGAGCCUGACCGAGGGUACUUGAAGAAAAAGCAUCGGCUAACUCCGUGCCAGCAGCCGCGGUAAUACGGAGGAUGCGAGCGUUAUCCGGAUUUAUUGGGUUUAAAGGGUGCGUAGGCGGCCUGUUAAGUCAGCGGUAAAAGCCCGGGGCUCAACCCCGGCGAGCCGUUGAAACUGGCUGUCUUGAGAUGUAGAGAGGUACGCGGAAUGCGCAGUGUAGCGGUGAAAUGCUUAGAUAUUGCGCAGAACCCCGAUUGCGAAGGCAGCAUACCGGCGGCGAUCUGACGCUGAGGCACGAAAGCGUGGGUAUCGAACAGGAUUAGAUACCCCGGUAGUC
RNAcentral lists this ribosomal RNA (459 nucleotides) under uncultured bacterium. RNAcentral describes it as "partial 16S ribosomal RNA". It matches the Rfam family "Bacterial small subunit ribosomal RNA", at positions 338 to 795 of the family's 1533-position model. The record is from RNAcentral.